Molecule: long non-coding RNA, 639 nt
Filed under: Dromaius novaehollandiae (emu)
Lineage: Eukaryota; Metazoa; Chordata; Aves; Casuariiformes; Dromaiidae
Description: lncRNA (ENSDNVG00000004961.1)
Source: RNAcentral
CAGGCCUGCAGGAAUUGGAUUCCAGCGCUGUAUUUGUGCUUCUGGUGGGCCCUGCGGUGGCACUGGACGGAGCUGCAGCAGUAUCUAGAGCCUUUCUUCCCUCUCUGCAAGGAGAACUGAGGAAGCUGGAACAGAAAAAGCCAAGAGUUAUGGCAGCAAAAGGAAGCGAAGAGCCUUGCGCAGCUGAGCCCCGGUCAAUGGAAUGACUCUCUCUAAACUCAGGUAGGACCCAGGAUUCAAACCUCAUCUCCUGCCCCAGUGCUCAGCCUUGAACAGCACCGCCUUCCCGCCAGCACCGAAGGGCUACGUGGGCCAUUGGGGCUGCGUCAGCUCUUCCACUGGCGUAACUGAGUAACCAAUGCUAGUACACAUACUCUUCUGCUACUGUAAAGCUUAAGGGGUCCAAUGCUAACUUUCCACACUGUACAUGAAUUGUCAGGAUAAUCCCUUUUUAAACUUUAUGCUUUAUAYGGAUGCAGAUAUCCUGAUGUGAUCUUUCUGAAACUUGUUCAUAAUACUUGCACGGUAGACAAAAAGAAUAUAAAAACAGCUGGAUGAAGAGCAUCAUUCUGCCUUGCUACAAUAUCAGAAAGUGACAUCAAAAUCAGCAAUAAAUAAAAAUAUAAAUCAAAAAAUACA